RNAcentral lists this ribosomal RNA (339 nucleotides) under uncultured bacterium. RNAcentral describes it as "bacterial SSU rRNA". It matches the Rfam family "Bacterial small subunit ribosomal RNA", at positions 1 to 334 of the family's 1533-position model. The record is from RNAcentral.
CUAGCGACUUCAGAGUUUGAUCCUGGCUCAGGAUGAACGCUAGCUACAGGCCUAACACGUGCAAGUCGAGGGGCAGCACUGAGGAAGCUUGCUUUCUCUGGUGGCGACCGGCGAAUGGGUGAGCAACGCGUAUCCAACCUGCCCUCCGCGCGGGGAUAGCCCUUGGAAAUGAGGAUUAACACCCGAUACGCCGUUUUCCCGCAUGGGUAUUCGGUGAAUCUUGCGGAGGAUGGGGAUACGUUGGAUUAGCUUGCUGGUGAGGUAACGGCUCACCAGGGCUCCGAUCCAUAGGGGUUCUGAGAGGAAGGUCCCCCACACUGGCACUGAGACACGGGCCAG